This 328-nucleotide ribosomal RNA is filed under the name uncultured eukaryote. RNAcentral's name for it is "partial 18S ribosomal RNA". It matches the Rfam family "Eukaryotic small subunit ribosomal RNA", at positions 1470 to 1796 of the family's 1831-position model. The record is from RNAcentral.
CCCUUAGAUGUCCUGGGCCGCACGCGCGCUACACUGAUGCAUGCAACGAGUUUAUAACCUUGGCCUGUAAGGUCUGGGUAAUCUUUUGAACGUGCAUCGUGAUAGGGAUAGAUUAUUGCAAUUGUUAAUCUUGAACGAGGAAUUCCUAGUAAACGCGAGUCAUCAGCUCGCAUUGAUUACGUCCCUGCCCUUUGUACACACCGCCCGUCGCACCUACCGAUUGAAUGGUUCGGUGAAGAUCUCGGACUUCGAUAUUUAUUCUUUAUUGAGUUUAUAUUGUGGGAAGUUAUCUAAACCUCAUCAUUUAGAGGAAGGUGAAGUCGUAACA